UACGGAGGGGGUUAGCGUUGUUCGGAAUUACUGGGCGUAAAGCGCGCGUAGGCGGACAUUUAAGUCAGGGGUGAAAUCCCGGGGCUCAACCCCGGAACUGCCCUUGAUACUGGGUGUCUUGAGUUCGAGAGAGGUGAGUGGAAUUCCGAGUGUAGAGGUGAAAUUCGUAGAUAUUCGGAGGAACACCAGUGGCGAAGGCGGCUCACUGGCUCGAUACUGACGCUGAGGUGCGAAAGUGUGGGGAGCAAA
Molecule: ribosomal RNA, 249 nt
Filed under: uncultured Marivita sp.
Lineage: Bacteria; Pseudomonadati; Pseudomonadota; Alphaproteobacteria; Rhodobacterales; Roseobacteraceae
Description: partial 16S ribosomal RNA
Rfam family: Bacterial small subunit ribosomal RNA
Source: RNAcentral